Molecule: long non-coding RNA, 1717 nt
Filed under: Mytilus galloprovincialis (Mediterranean mussel)
Lineage: Eukaryota; Metazoa; Mollusca; Bivalvia; Mytilida; Mytilidae
Source: RNAcentral
AGGUAACAAGAUCUUGGUAACAUUGAAUUUCAGUCAUUGAUUUGUAUUGAUGUCAAUUGGAGAUAUUAACUGAAUUUACACAAUUAUUGAUUCUGAAGUAGGAAUAAAUACUAGUAGUGAAUUGUGCUUUAGUCUAAUGUUUAAGAUAAAGAUGCAUAACUCUUGAACAGAAAAGUAGAAUAUAUCUCAACGAUUUAAAUAGACAUGGUUUUGUAUUAUAUUAUAUGACAUAAAUCAUUUAGACAUCAAAUUGCACGUAGAUUUGUUUGUGUUAUAUUUAAAGGAGUAGUCUAGGACAAAGGUAAACGAAAAAUGUCUAAGAGGAAAUUAAAUGUGUGUGUGUGUGGGACAGACUGCCUCAAGUGGUCAUGUUCAAUAUUCUGGACACUCACUGGAAUAAUAUUCGUUCUUGCUGCAGAACUUACACAAGGGAGUCAUUGCGAGGACGAAGGCGAACAAUGGCUAUUGAUUGCUCUUCCUAUAGUGUCUGCAUGUACAAUGCUGAUUUCAGGAAUAACUAUAUGUUCAGGAAUGGGAGUUUGUUUAAAGUCCCUUUGCUCCGUAAUUUGGGCUUUAAUUGGAAUUGCAUGUACCAGUGUGUCGUGUUAUUUUAUCACUAUGCAUUGCAAAGACAUGGAAGCAGUAUUGAUUGGACUGGUUGUGACUGGAUCCCUCACUAUCUGGAUAGGUGGAUGUGUUAUUGGACGUCUAACUACUCAAGGCGGAGGUUAUAGGGAAAUAUAAACGCAAAGUGGUCUUUUUAUCUCUUAUUUUGUAUGAAUUGAUAUUAUUAAUUUGUCUCCAAGAGACGUUAAUUGGAAUGGCGUGAACAAUGAUUAAUAAUUGCUCUUCCAAUUGUGGGUGCAUGUACCAUGCUGUUUUUGAAGGGAAUAAGUACAGGUAUAUGUACGGGCCGAAAGUAUCUAUGAAUUUUUGCCGUGUUUCUUUUUUACUAAGUAUAACAAAGUCAUGGAAGCCAUAUUGAUUUGACUCGUUUUAACUGGUUCCGGGACGCUCUGGCUAAGAGGAGUUUUAUACUUUAUACUGAACAGUAUUUUGUGUAUAAAUACCUGGUAUCUAAACUGAAAUGUGUUGCUAAAAAAGUGUUUCAUUCAGAUUUUCUGUUUUAACUCAGCAUAUGAAACUAUGUAAUAUGACAAAAAAAUGGUGUUUUACAAAACAAAAUUAUGCUUCACAAAAAUAUUUUUAAAUUGUUAUAACAAAGUAGGUUAGAUAACAAUAUAGGGCUUAUAAGUUUAUGAAAUUCAACUGAGGAAAUACACCAAACAUUUGAAUAAAAAAUAAUAAAAAAAUGAAGAUUAGUCUUUGAUACAUUUAUUUAAUUUUUCAAUGUUCAAAGUAAAAUCUUGAUAGCAACCUGCAUGAUCACCAUUACAUUGGAAUUUGAGGAUUACUGUCAAUAUAUUUUGCUUCUGUGCAACAAUAUACACUUUCAUGAACCACAACAUUUAUAAUCUUGAAAUAUUUUUCUGCCUUAUAUGCCAUGAAUGUAUUGUUUUAUGGAAAAAGAGUUAAGUUGGUCUAAAAAUAAAUGUCCCUAAAAAUUAAGAUAUUUUAGAUUCUAAAAGUCACAGACUGAGUUCUAUGUUUUGAAACCAGCUUUUCCGUAAUUUUUAAUUUUAUUAUUUGAAUUUGAAAACAAAAGUUUAAUUUUGGUAUUAGCUGCAACAAAUCUAGGUUAUCAGUAACCUAUUCU